RNAcentral lists this ribosomal RNA (253 nucleotides) under uncultured bacterium. Its description in RNAcentral is "partial 16S ribosomal RNA". It matches the Rfam family "Bacterial small subunit ribosomal RNA", at positions 524 to 776 of the family's 1533-position model. The record is from RNAcentral.
UACGUAGGGGGCAAGCGUUGUCCGGAAUCAUUGGGCGUAAAGAGCGUGUAGGCGGUCCGGUAAGUCGGCUGUGAAAGUCCAGGGCUCAACCCUGGGAUGCCGGUCGAUACUGCCGGACUAGAGUUCGGAAGAGGCGAGUGGAAUUCCCGGUGUAGCGGUGAAAUGCGUAGAUAUCAAGUGGAACACCAGUGGCGAAGGCGAGUCUCUGGACAUUUCCUGACGCUGAGGCACGAAAGCCAGGGGAGCAAACGGG